RNAcentral lists this transfer RNA (73 nucleotides) under Ictidomys tridecemlineatus (thirteen-lined ground squirrel). RNAcentral describes it as "Spermophilus tridecemlineatus (thirteen-lined ground squirrel) tRNA". It matches the Rfam family "tRNA". Rfam says of the family: Transfer RNA (tRNA) molecules are approximately 80 nucleotides in length. The record is from Rfam by way of RNAcentral. Lineage: Eukaryota; Metazoa; Chordata; Mammalia; Rodentia; Sciuridae.
UGGGAUAUAGCUCAGUUGGUAGAGUGCUUGCCUCAAAUGCACAAGGCCCUGGGUUCAAUCCCCAGCACCCCCU